Molecule: ribosomal RNA, 253 nt
Filed under: uncultured bacterium
Lineage: Bacteria
Description: partial 16S ribosomal RNA
Rfam family: Bacterial small subunit ribosomal RNA
Source: RNAcentral
UACGAAGGGUGCAAGCGUUACUCGGAAUUACUGGGCGUAAAGCGUGCGUAGGUGGUUUGUUAAGUCUGCUGUGAAAGCCCCGGGCUCAACCUGGGAAUGGCAGUGGAUACUGGCAAGCUAGAGUGCGGUAGAGGGUAGUGGAAUUCCCGGUGUAGCGGUGAAAUGCGUAGAGAUCGGGAGGAACACCAGUGGCGAAGGCGGCUACCUGGACCAGCACUGACACUCAGGCACGAAAGUGUGGGGAGCAAACAGG